This 582-nucleotide ribosomal RNA is filed under the name Triticum aestivum (bread wheat). RNAcentral describes it as "partial small subunit ribosomal RNA". The record is from RNAcentral. Lineage: Eukaryota; Viridiplantae; Streptophyta; Magnoliopsida; Poales; Poaceae.
AUGCCGGCGAGGAGGGUGGCCAUCGACCUGCUCCGGAACGCCUCCCGCGAGGCCUUCCAGGCGGCCGUCUCCACCAUGCUGAAGCCGGCCACCAACAAGCCCCUCCACCACGACCACCGGGCCGAACGAGCCAACGAGCGUAGCGCCAUUUGCAGCCGGCUAGCUCUGGACGUACCGGAGGCCGGAAGCCGGUCGCCGGAGCGAGCGAUGAUGUCGGAUCAGAGAGGGGAGUGGGAGGACUACCGGACGCCGCACGGGCUGCUGAUGGCGGUGGUGAUGGGGGCGGUGGUGGCGGGGCCGCUGUUCGUCCUGGACGGCGGCGAGGCGGUGCGCGAGGCCCUGUCGGAGCUCCUCGGGCCCGUGGGGCUCCCGCUGCUCCCCCUCGGCCUCGUCCUCGUCAUCCGCGUCCUCUCCUCCGGCCUCCGGCUCGUCGACGUCUUCGGCUUCGCCCUGGGAGAGUCGCUCGACGCCGCCUACCGCUCCGGGCGGGGAUCGCCGGUGGGGGUCGUGCUCGCGCUGAUGUUCUUCCUGCUCGCGGUGUACUACAGGUCGUGGUCGCCGUUCGGCGGCGACGACGAGUAG